ACUGCGAACGGCUCAUUAUAUCAGUUAUAGUUUAUUUGAUAGUCCCUUACUACUUGGAUAACCGUAGUAAUUCUAGAGCUAAUACAUGCAUCAAUACCCAACUGUUCGCGGACGGGUAGUAUUUAUUAGAUAGAAACCAACCCUCUUCGGAGGUGCUCAGGUGAUUCAUGAUAACUCUGCGAAUCGCAUGGUCUUGUACCGGCGAUGGAUCAUCCAAGUUUCUGCCCUAUCAGCUUUGGAUGGUAGGGUAUUGGCCUACCAUGGCUUUAACGGGUAACGGAUAAUUAGGGUUAGAUUCCGGAGAGGGCGCCUGAGAGACGGCGACCACAUCCAAGGAAGGCAGCAGGCGCGUAAAUUACCCAAUCCUGACACAGGGAGGUAGCGACAAUAAAUAACAAUGCCGGGCCUUUCUAGGUCUGGCAAUUGGAAUGAGAACAAUUUAAAUCCCUUAUCGAGGAUCAAUUGGAGGGCAAGUCUGGUGCCAGCAGCCGCGGUAAUUCCAGCUCCAAUAGCGUAUAUUAAAGUUGUUGCAGUUAAAAAGCUCGUAGUUGGAUUUCUGGUGGGAGCGGUCGGUGCGGUCCUCAGGAUUGCUACUCGUACCGUCUCUUGCCAUCCUUGGGGUCGAUCCUGUCUGGCAUUAAGUUGUCGGGCAGGGGAU
RNAcentral lists this ribosomal RNA (658 nucleotides) under eukaryote marine clone ME1-14. RNAcentral's name for it is "SSU rRNA". It matches the Rfam family "Eukaryotic small subunit ribosomal RNA", at positions 86 to 743 of the family's 1831-position model. The record is from RNAcentral.